This is a long non-coding RNA of Python bivittatus (Burmese python), 665 nucleotides long. RefSeq lists it as uncharacterized. NCBI's taxonomy places the organism in Eukaryota, Metazoa, Chordata, Lepidosauria, Squamata, Pythonidae. The record is from RefSeq and is a predicted model, not a curated record.
CCAAAGCUAACAAAAAACGGGCUCUUUUGGUAUGUUAGAAAGCAAAGAAAAGCUAAAGAGGGUGUAGGACCAUUGUGAGGAGAAGCUGGGGAGUCAGAAAUGGAUAAUGGCCUUUGAUUUUCUGGAGGCACCGUUUAGCUAGCUUAAGCAAAUCCAAGACUCCAGAGCCAGAUGGACUACAUCCUAGGGCAAUGCUUCCCAAACCUGGGCUUCCCAAGCAGACGUCUGAAGAGAGGCUCUUGCAGGCGUUCCCCUUCCAGCACUCCUGUUCUCCAGUGGCCAAGGACCUUUGAGCAUGGAGGAUCUAGCUGGCCUUCAGGACUCUAGCUGUAGAGGUCAUCUUCCUCACUGAAUUCCGUUUUUGCAUUUCUGAGCCUCCCAAAGGCAGGGCGCAUCACCAGAGCAUCAGUUCCCUGGUGGACUGGACGACCUUUAAGAUUCCUGCCGACUCUAUGAUUCCACGGUUCUAUGAAUGACAGUGGCUGGAGCCCGGUGGGGCUCACAAUGACUGGUUUUGCAGGUUCACACAGUUACAACUGCUUCUCUCAUGUGGAUCUGGAGCCGCUGCUGUUUACUGCAAGGUUCACUGCUAUUUCUUCCCCUGCAAAAGGCCAGAGUGUGCAGAUGAAUUCGAAGCUCCACCAGAGAGUAUGUGCGUUAUUACA